CCGGGUGCGAAAGCAAUGGGAGCUG
This 25-nucleotide non-coding RNA is filed under the name Cricetulus griseus (Chinese hamster). The record is from RNAcentral. Lineage: Eukaryota; Metazoa; Chordata; Mammalia; Rodentia; Cricetidae.